Anser brachyrhynchus (Pink-footed goose) is the source of this 2325-nucleotide long non-coding RNA. NCBI's taxonomy places the organism in Eukaryota, Metazoa, Chordata, Aves, Anseriformes, Anatidae. The record is from Ensembl.
AUGUGGGGAUUUGGGGUGCACACCCAGCCAGGGCCUCGCGCUCGCUCUUUGCUGUGCUCUGAGGGUCGCUGUCAAUUUUUGGCCCCUUGGUGCCCUUCUCGGGCCUCAGCUGCUCUCAUCCAUCGCUGGCUGUGUUCAGCGCGGCGCUCAGCUCCCUCGGCUUCGAAGGACGCAGCGUGUGGUCCGCUCCGCGGCUGCCAUGGCAACGGUGGGAUGCAAAACCAUGGUUUAAAACCCAAAACAAAUAAAUCCUCCACACCACAAAGCCCAAAGCAUCCUUCUCGCCUUGCUUCCCCCAGCCCAUUUUGUUUUCCCCUCUUGGGACCCGACGAGGAGCUGGUGCUGCCAGGCAAUGACUGCAGUGUCCUGGGUUCCUCCGUGUGCCCAUCUCCUGAGGCCAUGUCUCAGGCAGACACUGCUCUCCCGUUUCCCCUGGCUUCAGCCCUGCUCCUGCUCGAGGCUUUCGGGGGGGCCCCGCCUCGAGCUGCUGAAGGUCAGAGCGGCUGCUGCCUUCCGCCGGGGCCGCCUCCGGAGAGUAAACAAUAAUUAACCUUAAAUUAAAACUGGUUGUAAUCUUUGAUUACCCGCCUGGUUGUGCGAUGUGCCAAAGCCCAUUUUGUUUCUGGUUUCCUUGGAGAUACCACCCGGUCUCCCCACCCCCUUCCAGCUCUGGCUUUUUUAAAGCAGGUUUAAAAACAGCUAUUAGGAGAGCUUGUUAAUCAUCAUACCAGGCUGCUAAUAGCACUCUGGCCACAGUUAAUCACGGAGAGCUGCAAAGAUGCUGCAAAUGCUUUCGGUGGAUGUAAUUUCCCCCCUACAUUCCUCCCUUCCAUCGCGUCCCCCUUCCCUUUUUCGCAGAAGCCUCUUCUCCACCCGAGGUGGGAAAUUUGGCUGCACGGUGCUGCUUGCUUGUUGGUUUUUUUUAUUUUGUUUUAUUUUCCUCCGUUGGUUUGCUGGCGGUGGCACCUCCGCUGAAGCAGGGGAGCACCGAGCCCGCUUUGCCAUGCAGCCGAGCAGCAGCAGCGCUUUCCCGUUGGGUUUUGAGGGAUUUGGGGCUGUGCCCCAGGAGCUGGGGGGCUCAAGGUGGAGCUGAGGUGUCUCUGGGUCCGUUAACAGCAGGUUAUGGCUGCAGCCUCCUCCUUCCUCCAGCAUCACGGGAACUUCUUUAUACUCACCAAUGUCCCCCAUUUCAGAACUGCCAUCAGUGAGCUUGCAGCAGCCCUCUCACCGAGGAAAUAAGUAGAAGGGGGCGAAGCAGGAGGUAACGCACACGUUUCUGGGCUGCCUUCAUUGCUGGAGCAUCCUCCUCCUCCUCCCUGGAGCUCCUCCAGGUUCGUGCUGCUGUAGGCGGAGGCAAGUUUGGCCUCCAAGGCCUCGAAUUUGUAAAUCAGUUCGGCAUGUUGUUUUAUUCUCCACGUUAAGCAGUUGCUUAAGCGCUCGGCUGUGCGAGGCCAGAACAGCGGGCCGGUGCCGUAAUCGAUAGCUCCAUGGAGACGGGAGGUGCAGCAUUGCCUUGGCUGGUGUAAAUCAGGAGUGGGACCGGGGGGGGGGUCGAGCCUCCAAAACUCGCUGGCCCCGGCGCCCCCCGUGCUGCUCCGGCCCCAUUUGGAGGCGUUUGAGCGGGGCGACCCCGCCUGCGCGCAAAUUGCGGCUCUGGCUGCUCCUGCUGAAAUGACAGAUAGGGGACAGUCCUGCUAGUUGACAAUAAUUGUUCUCCUAAUUACAGCAAUGACAUUUACUGGAAAGCCACUGCAAUCCCAUUACCUUCUUAUGCUAAAUUCUGCGACUUCAGAAUUGCAUUCCCUGCCUCCUUCCCCCGGUCUGGAACCCUCUGGGCACGGCCUUGUUUGCUGCAUCUGCGACCACACGACUGGGUUUGGGGUUAUGCUGCGGGGGCACUGGUAUUUUGGGGGUUUGUUAUCCCUUUGCCUAGCUGGGCGAUGCUGGGUGAUGCAGCGCCUGUGGAGGACCCAACUUCCACCCCAAAAGGGGACAGAGGCACCCAGGGUCCCCACAAGAUCAGGGGACACCCGCUGGCACCCCGAGGGACUUCUACAGCAUUUCCCUUUCCGAAUCGCAGGUAGCCCGCUCGAGCCUGUGUGUUCUCAUUCUCCAGCCAUAAACAAGCGGAAGGUGCCUGGGAAUAAUUAAUUUUUAAGACCCUUAAUAUUUUAUAAAUGGUUGUAAUGAGCCGAUGUUCUGUUUUGUUUAGCUGUUUAUGUGUCGUUAAGUCGUGAGGCUGCGAACAAGAUGCUUUAAUUUAAUAUGUUGCCCUCAGAAAUAUCUUUUAAUAAAUAAAGCGCUCUAGUUCUUCUCUGGAGAGCC